RNAcentral lists this transfer RNA (71 nucleotides) under Xiphophorus maculatus (southern platyfish). It matches the Rfam family "tRNA". From Rfam's summary of the family: Transfer RNA (tRNA) molecules are approximately 80 nucleotides in length. Their secondary structure includes four short double-helical elements and three loops (D, anti-codon, and T loops). Further hydrogen bonds mediate the characteristic L-shaped molecular structure. tRNAs have two regions of fundamental functional importance: the anti-codon, which is responsible for specific mRNA codon recognition, and the 3' end, to which the tRNAs corresponding amino acid is attached (by aminoacyl-tRNA synthetases). tRNAs cope with the degeneracy of the genetic code in two manners: having more than one tRNA (with a specific anti-codon) for a particular amino acid; and 'wobble' base-pairing, i.e. permitting non-standard base-pairing at the 3rd anti-codon position. Lineage: Eukaryota; Metazoa; Chordata; Actinopteri; Cyprinodontiformes; Poeciliidae. The record is from Rfam by way of RNAcentral.
UCCUCGUUAGUAUAGUGGCAGUAUCCCUGCCUGUCACGUGGGAGACUGGGGUUCGAUUCCCCGAUGGGGAG